CGGACUCGAAGAACCCGGGGUCGGUGGAGACGGCGGCAAUGGGUCAAGCGUCUGAUUUGUCGGGCGAGAACGAGAAACUGAAGAAGGAGAACGAGAAUUUGAGCUCGGAGCUGGCGCAGACGAAGAAGCAAUGCGACGAGCUCGUGGGAUUCCUGAUGGAUUACCUGAAAGUGGGGCCCGAUCAGAUCAAUCGCAUCAUGCGGCAAGGAAGCUAUGUGCCCACCCGUGAUGAAGAUGAAGAUGAAGAUGAUGAUCUCGAUUUUGAUCGUGAUGAGAAUGACGCUGCUGAUGAUGACGAUGACGACGGAAAACAAAAGGAGGGCUUGAAGCUGUUUGGAGUUUGGGUGAAAGGGAACGAGAAGAAGAAGAGUAAGAGAACGGAGCGAGAUGAGAAAUUUGGGGUUGGUAUUGGUG
Molecule: long non-coding RNA, 414 nt
Filed under: Prunus persica (peach)
Lineage: Eukaryota; Viridiplantae; Streptophyta; Magnoliopsida; Rosales; Rosaceae
Description: long non-coding RNA (PPER_LNC007404)
Source: RNAcentral